RNAcentral lists this ribosomal RNA (292 nucleotides) under uncultured bacterium. RNAcentral's name for it is "partial 16S ribosomal RNA". It matches the Rfam family "Bacterial small subunit ribosomal RNA", at positions 505 to 796 of the family's 1533-position model. The record is from RNAcentral.
GUGCCAGCAGCCGCGGUAAUACGAAGGGGGCUAGCGUUGUUCGGAAUUACUGGGCGUAAAGCGCGUGUAGGCGGGUCCUUAAGUCAGGGGUGAAAUGCCGAGGCUCAACCUCGGAACUGCCUUUGAUACUGGGGAUCUUGAGUCCGGGAGAGGUGAGUGGAACUGCGAGUGUAGAGGUGAAAUUCGUAGAUAUUCGCAAGAACACCAGUGGCGAAGGCGGCUCACUGGCCCGGAACUGACGCUGAGACGCGAAAGCGUGGGGAGCAAACAGGAUUAGAAACCCUUGUAGUCC